GCCCCCGUAGCCCAACUGGCAGAGGCAGCCGGCUUAAACCCGGCCAAGUCCCGGUUCGAACCCGGGCGGGGGCA
This 74-nucleotide transfer RNA is filed under the name Isoptericola halotolerans. RNAcentral describes it as "tRNA-Leu". It matches the Rfam family "tRNA". From Rfam's summary of the family: Transfer RNA (tRNA) molecules are approximately 80 nucleotides in length. Their secondary structure includes four short double-helical elements and three loops (D, anti-codon, and T loops). Lineage: Bacteria; Bacillati; Actinomycetota; Actinomycetes; Micrococcales; Promicromonosporaceae. The record is from RNAcentral.